GACGAACGCUGGCGGCGUGCUUAACACAUGCAAGUCGAACGGAAAGGCCCCUUUGGGGGUACUCGAGUGGCGAACGGGUGAGUAACACGUGCGUAACCUGCCCUUGCCUUCGGGAUAACUUCAGGAAACUGGGGCUAAUACCUGCUAGGAAUCCUUGCCGCAUGGUGGGGGUUGGAAAGCUUUGGUGGGUUGGGAUGGACUUGCGGGUUAUCAGCUUGGUGGUGGGGUAGUGGCUUACCAAGGCUUUGACGGGUAGCCGGCCUGGGGGGGCGACCGGCCAAAUUGGGACCGGGGUACGGCCCAGACUCCUACGGGGGGCAAGAGUUGGGAAUAUUGCACAAUGGGCGGGAGCCUGAUGCAGCAACGCCGCGGGCGGGAUGACGGCCUUCGGGUUGGAAACCGCUUUCAGCAGGGGCGAAGCUGGUGGUGACGGUACCUGCAGAAGAAGCACCGGCUAACUACGUG
Molecule: ribosomal RNA, 465 nt
Filed under: uncultured bacterium
Lineage: Bacteria
Description: partial 16S ribosomal RNA
Rfam family: Bacterial small subunit ribosomal RNA
Source: RNAcentral